This 301-nucleotide ribosomal RNA is filed under the name uncultured bacterium. RNAcentral's name for it is "partial 16S ribosomal RNA". It matches the Rfam family "Bacterial small subunit ribosomal RNA", at positions 509 to 807 of the family's 1533-position model. The record is from RNAcentral.
CAGCAGCCGCGGUAAAACGGAGGGUGCAAGCGUUAAUCGGAAUUACUGGGCGUAAAGCGCACGCAGGCGGUCUGACAAGUCAGAUGUGAAAUCCCCGGGCUUAACCUGGGAACUGCAUUUGAAACUGUCAGGCUGGAGUCUUGUAGAGGGGGGUGGAAUUCCAGGUGUAGCGGUGAAAUGCGUAGAGAUCUGGAGGAAUACCGGUGGCGAAGGCGGCCCCCUGGACAAAGACUGACGCUCAGGUGCGAAAGCGUGGGGAGCAAACAGGAUUAGAUACCCGUGUAGUCCCUGUCUCUUAUAC